GGCUGUGGCUCAGUGGCAGAGCACUUGCCUAGCAUGCGUGAGGCACUGGGUUCUAUCCUCAGCACCA
Molecule: transfer RNA, 67 nt
Filed under: Marmota monax (woodchuck)
Lineage: Eukaryota; Metazoa; Chordata; Mammalia; Rodentia; Sciuridae
Description: tRNA.Ala
Source: RNAcentral